GUAGGUGGCAAGCGUUGUCCGGAAUUAUUGGGCGUAAGCGCGCGCAGGCGGUUCUUUAAGUCUGAUGUGAAAGCCCACGGCUCAACCGUGGAGGGUCAUUGGAAACUGGAGAACUUGAGUACAGAAGAGGAAAGCGGAAUUCCACGUGUAGCGGUGAAAUGCGUAGAGAUGUGGAGGAACACCAGUGGCGAAGGCGGCUUUCUGGUCUGUAACAGACGCUGAGGCGCGAAAGCGUGGGGAGCAAACAGGAUUAGAUACCCUGGUAGUCCACGCCGUAAACGAUGAGUGCUAAGUGUUAGGGGGGUUUUCCGCCCCCCUUGGUGCUGCAGCUAACGCAUUAAGCACUCCGCCUGGGAGUACGGCCGCAAGGCUG
This 373-nucleotide ribosomal RNA is filed under the name uncultured organism. RNAcentral's name for it is "partial 16S ribosomal RNA". It matches the Rfam family "Bacterial small subunit ribosomal RNA", at positions 527 to 896 of the family's 1533-position model. The record is from RNAcentral.